This is a long non-coding RNA of Pogoniulus pusillus (Red-fronted tinkerbird), 269 nucleotides long. RefSeq lists it as uncharacterized. NCBI's taxonomy places the organism in Eukaryota, Metazoa, Chordata, Aves, Piciformes, Lybiidae. The transcript is spliced from 2 exons. The record is from RefSeq and is a predicted model, not a curated record.
UGCAAGCUGCCUGCGGAGCCAGCAUGUGCUCUUCACGUGUGUCUGCCCGAUGGAGGUGUGCUGCCUGCCCAGCCUGGGGGCCUGCUUGCACCCUGGACCACAGUCCCUUGCUUUCCUCUGGCUCAGCACAGCGUCCCCCUGCAGAAGGAAGAACCUGGUGACACUUCAGCUCCCCUUGGUCAUUCGAGCUGUGGAGGCCAUCUCCAGCUUCCAGCUGUGUGCAGUCUUCCCAGGAUCUGCAAUAAAGCAAGCAGCCCUUUAAUAUUUAA